AUUGAACGCUGGCGGCGUGCCUAACACAUGCAAGUCGAGCGGUAACAGGUGUAGCAAUACAUGCUGACGAGCGGCGAACGGGUGAGCAAUGCUUCGGAAUCUGCCCAAUGAUGGGGAAUAACCAGUCGAAAGAUUGGCUAAUACCGCAUACGCCCUACGGGGGAAAGCGGGGGUCGCAAGACCUCGCGUCGAUGGAUGAG
Molecule: ribosomal RNA, 200 nt
Filed under: uncultured bacterium
Lineage: Bacteria
Description: partial 16S ribosomal RNA
Rfam family: Bacterial small subunit ribosomal RNA
Source: RNAcentral